RNAcentral lists this ribosomal RNA (163 nucleotides) under Brachypodium hybridum. Its description in RNAcentral is "5.8S ribosomal RNA". It matches the Rfam family "5.8S ribosomal RNA". Rfam says of the family: 5.8S ribosomal RNA (5.8S rRNA) is a component of the large subunit of the eukaryotic ribosome. The record is from RNAcentral. Lineage: Eukaryota; Viridiplantae; Streptophyta; Magnoliopsida; Poales; Poaceae.
GACACGACUCUCGGCAACGGAUAUCUCGGCUCUCGCAUCGAUGAAGAASGUAGCGAAAUGCGAUACCUGGUGUGAAUUGCAGAAUCCCGCGAACCAUCGAGUCUUUGAACGCAAGUUGCGCCCGAGGCCACCCGGUCGAGGGCACGCCUGCCUGGGCGUCACG